Long non-coding RNA from Eublepharis macularius, 368 nucleotides. RefSeq lists it as uncharacterized. The transcript has 3 exons. Lineage: Eukaryota; Metazoa; Chordata; Lepidosauria; Squamata; Eublepharidae. The record is from RefSeq and is a predicted model, not a curated record.
CUUCUCCGAUCAUGCAGCACUGGAACAAACAGACAAUGAACACAGAUGGUUUUCCACUGGUACGGAAUGGUUACCUGUCUCCUGACUUGGAGAGGAGUGAUGGCACAUCUACAGGCAGAUAGCAACCUGUCAGGGAGGCUGGAGAGCGUGACUGUUCCAGCACCCAGUGAUCCUUCCCGGCUGCCAUCCAAGCCCUGCCCAUGGAGCCAUUCCUUGGCCCCAUGACUUGACCCCGCUCCUGAAGGAGUAGCACAAAGAACAGUCCUCAUGGACCUCAUGCAAGACUGCCUCGCAAACAGGCACUGCUUCCGUCCAGGCCAAGGGAAGUUGGCAACAUGUGUCUGGACAUCCUCUUCACUUUUGAUAGU